This 652-nucleotide ribosomal RNA is filed under the name uncultured Vibrionaceae bacterium. RNAcentral describes it as "bacterial SSU rRNA". It matches the Rfam family "Bacterial small subunit ribosomal RNA", at positions 28 to 671 of the family's 1533-position model. Lineage: Bacteria; Pseudomonadati; Pseudomonadota; Gammaproteobacteria; Vibrionales; Vibrionaceae. The record is from RNAcentral.
AUUGAACGCUGGCGGCAGGCUUAACACAUGCAAGUCGAGCGGUAACAGGAAUAGCUUGCUAUUUGCUGACGAGCGGCGGACGGGUGAGUAAUGCUUGGGAAUAUGCCUUAUGGUGGGGGACAACAGUUGGAAACGACUGCUAAUACCGCAUAAUGUCUACGGACCAAAGGGGGGGAUCUUCGGACCUCUCGCCAUUUGAUUAGCCCAAGUGAGAUUAGCUAGUUGGUAAGGUAAUGGCUUACCAAGGCGACGAUCUCUAGCUGGUUUGAGAGGAUGAUCAGCCACACUGGGACUGAGACACGGCCCAGACUCCUACGGGAGGCAGCAGUGGGGAAUAUUGCACAAUGGGGGAAACCCUGAUGCAGCCAUGCCGCGUGUGUGAAGAAGGCCUUCGGGUUGUAAAGCACUUUCAGUUGUGAGGAAAGGUGUGUAGUUAAUAGCUGCAUACUGUGACGUUAACAGCAGAAGAAGCACCGGCUAACUUCGUGCCAGCAGCCGCGGUAAUACGAGGGGUGCAAGCGUUAAUCGGAAUUACUGGGCGUAAAGCGUUCGUAGGCGGUUGAAUAAGCAAGAUGUGAAAGCCCAGGGCUCAACCUUGGAACUGCAUUUUGAACUGUUCGACUAGAGUACUGUAGAGGGGGGUAGAAUUUCA